GGGGUUGUGGCUCAAUGGUAGAGCACUUCCCUAGCAUACAUGAGUCUCUGGGUUCGAUCCCAGCAACACAU
RNAcentral lists this transfer RNA (71 nucleotides) under Ictidomys tridecemlineatus (thirteen-lined ground squirrel). RNAcentral describes it as "Spermophilus tridecemlineatus (thirteen-lined ground squirrel) tRNA". It matches the Rfam family "tRNA". Rfam says of the family: Transfer RNA (tRNA) molecules are approximately 80 nucleotides in length. Their secondary structure includes four short double-helical elements and three loops (D, anti-codon, and T loops). Further hydrogen bonds mediate the characteristic L-shaped molecular structure. tRNAs have two regions of fundamental functional importance: the anti-codon, which is responsible for specific mRNA codon recognition, and the 3' end, to which the tRNAs corresponding amino acid is attached (by aminoacyl-tRNA synthetases). tRNAs cope with the degeneracy of the genetic code in two manners: having more than one tRNA (with a specific anti-codon) for a particular amino acid; and 'wobble' base-pairing, i.e. permitting non-standard base-pairing at the 3rd anti-codon position. Lineage: Eukaryota; Metazoa; Chordata; Mammalia; Rodentia; Sciuridae. The record is from Rfam by way of RNAcentral.